This 306-nucleotide long non-coding RNA is filed under the name Phoenix dactylifera (date palm). RNAcentral's name for it is "long non-coding RNA (PDAC_LNC006710)". The record is from RNAcentral. Lineage: Eukaryota; Viridiplantae; Streptophyta; Magnoliopsida; Arecales; Arecaceae.
CACCUACCACCCUUAUCCCUUGCUUCAACGGAUCAGAACUGUAACAGUCCGCGGAUCAAGCUUCCCAACCAUCUGCCUCUUCCCAACGCUCGAAUCAAAUCUUCUAUGCGUCGCCCGCUGCCGUGGAACAGAAGCCGUUCCUCCAUCCUCAUCUUUUCACUGGGGAAGCUUAUCCUCCGGAUGCUAACAGAGGAUAGGAAAGCUAUAAAAGGAAGGGAGUUCUCUUCUCCGGGAUUCAUUCUUCUCUUCCAUUCAUUCCUCCCCCACCGGGGGGGGGGGGGCAUUCCCUCUUCCCCCACCGGGGGU